Molecule: long non-coding RNA, 280 nt
Organism: Bombina bombina (fire-bellied toad)
Lineage: Eukaryota; Metazoa; Chordata; Amphibia; Anura; Bombinatoridae
Exons: 3
Source: RefSeq, a predicted model, not a curated record
UCAAAAUCAUCCACAUAUUUACUUUUGGAUGAGCAUUUUAACAUUGUACUUCAAGAAAUAUCAGGAUAAAUGAGUCUGAUUCUUUUUUUUUCUUGUAACCGAAGAAUUUUAAAAAAACACAGAUGGGCUCUGUAGCUUUAAGGAUUGUGUUGGCGAUACUAAGUUGGAGUUCUAGGUUAUGUGAGAUCCGUGUAGUGCAGGAUCCUAUUGUUUCUGGCUUGAAUGGAUCCACUGUCAAUUUAAGUUGUCAUGUUCAUAUGUCUGGGCAUAAGGUAGAGAG